UUGGUUCUGGGGUAGUAUGGGUGAGAAAAGGCUAUGAGGAUUCUGGUGGCCUUAUAAGAAUAGAGCACACAGGCUUACACAUACUCCCUAUCUUCAGCCACGUGAUUUCCCAGGUUAGCAACGAGGCAGGCUGCUGCAGCUAUUGAUGCAGCUCCUAGACUUGACAUUUCUGGAACUGUCAGUCUAAAUAAGGCACUUUUCUUUAGAAGGCUACCAGCCUCAGAAAUUUUAUUUUAGCAAUGAUACAUAUAAAAAAAUAAACAAAAGUACUUUAAUCUAAGAGACUUAAGACAUGACUGACUGUAUUUUAUUUUGUUCCUUAUUCCAGUAAUUUGUUUCAAAAACCCACUUAUGAGGUGAAAGAACUUUUUAAAUUUUUUUUUUAAGAUACGAAGACAGGGUUGCACAUACAUGAAAUGACAUGGGGUUUGGGAUCUGCUGUGGAAUGACAAUGGAUUCCUUAGUAGGGAAUCAGAGAAAAGACCAGGGAAAUGCUUUUCAGCGUGGAAGAUGAAGAGUCCCUGGAAGGCUACGUUAUAGUUUGAGUUUUAUUUUUGCAUUUUCUAGCAAGUUUGUUAUGGGGAAAUUUCAAACAGUGAAAAUAUUGACAGAGAAAGUGGGGUAUUCUGGGAAGCACAGAUCAGGAUGGGAGAUCUGGUAAACAUGGCUGUGUUCUGAUGGAAGUCUCGGAGGACAGUGAUGCUGGAGGGGCCAGGAGCUGGAGUGCAGUCCUGACCAGGGACUACUAACACAUAGGCUGCUGGGGCACAGGGUAGUGGCAGGGGCAGGCUUAUACUGGAGAAACUGGGUCGUUGGCUUCUUCUUCUUCUUCUUCUUUUUUUUAAAAUAAGGACAGUGUUAAUUGAGGGUGACACUUGUGAGGAGCAUCUAUCUGGCAGCAGGGGACUUUGUGAGGUCACGGUCAGUGAUUGCCACUGUGACUAUUCCUGUAGGCUCUGUCCCAAGUCAGAGCCCACACAGGGUCAGCCACUGAGCACAUUGCAGUGGAGGAUGGUGAAUGUCAGGGAGAGCUUUUUCUGUUGGACUCAGACUGGCACUGAGCUGGGACUGACCAGUUCUGCUGUGGACCACAGACACUGACAACCCGGAGCCAUCAGAGUUCCUCUGAGCAUUUACCCAAGUCUAACAGAGGCCUGCUGGCAGGAGGCGUUCACAAGGUCUUAAUGAAGCAGGCGCUUCAGAUGGGGCUUCACGACUCUAAAGGCAAGUGGAGCUUUCUCUGUGCACCCAUUUGUGUAGUAAGAGGCUGAACAUUUCGUUUUGUAAAUGAAAAGCACGGUCAGGAUUUCAGAAGAUUUAGUCAGAGAGCCAAGUGUGUGCUUGGCAAAGCAGCAGCCCUGCAGACACUGCUUUCCUGUGCUUCCCAGGCACAGGUGUCCCUGCUCUGCGUGACAGAUGCCAUCCCAGGAAAGGCUGCCUGUGCUACCGCCUUGUGAGGGGCCAUCUGAAGCGCGACCUCACCCUGCCCUUACACAACCUCAGCCUACAGAUGAGCGCUCCGUGCGGAUGGAGAACUACUUGGAUACGUGAGGAACAGCCAACCAAGCCCCUCAUCUCAAAGCUUUGUUUGGAAGUGAUCAUGUGCGAAAGCAAGCUCUGGGCACCCUGCACACUGUGAGGCUUGAUGUCCUACACAAAAGCCCUUCUUCUCACAUCAUUCCUCAGGCAGCCCUCUUCACCCUCCCUUCCAGAGAACAGACUUUGAUGGCUGUCCAGCCCUGCCCUGGAGUGGCCUCUCUUUGGAGGCUAUGCAAAUAAGGAGGGGAAGCAACACCUCAGCCCCAGCUCCAAGGCUGCUCUAUGUUGUUUGAAUAAUCAAAUGUGACAUCUGCUAGCUGGAAGCCACUACUUCCCCUUCACAAGAGGCUGAAAUGCUCCUCAGGGGUCCCAAAGAACACCUUGUAUUCAAGGAGCAAGAAUAGCCAAGCCCCUGGCAUGCACCUCUGAGAACCCCUUUUGGGCCUCAGGCCUCUUCCUCUGUCCCCUGGUGUUCCAAGAGCUGGUUGACCUUUCCUUUUUUCUACUGACCUAACUACCAAACAGAAGGAGUCAAAGAAAGAGGAUGUGAUAGGAGUUCCCCUUUCUGCCUGGCUCUGAGAUUCCCUACCCUCUCCAGCUCUUGGGCAAUACAACCUUCCGCUCUUGGGGGCAGGGAAUAGCCAUGUUCAGAGGAAGCUACCAGGACAUGAGAAACAUAGGAGACGGCCCGGUUUCCAUUCUUGACUAUGUUUUCCUCAUGCUUUGCCUUAGCAUCCUCUUGGGGAGUCACAGCUGCCUGAUCAGUCACCCCUGAACACAGAUGACCCACCCCACCGCAGCUACAGAAGGAAGAGUAAGAAUGCACCCAGGCUGGAGGUGACUGAUGGUAUGGAGAGCCACUUUGACAUGUAUUCACCCAUUUAAAUGCUCUGAAAUAGGACUGUGGUAAUUUGGCUGAUCUCACUGGGUUAGAGACUAAAAGAGAGAGUUCUAAAAGAAGUGGGGUCUUAUUUAUUUGUUUUUUAUUUACCCUUUGUUAUAAACCCAAAGCCAGCCUUCUCCACCUGCGGCUGAUUCUCUCUGGCUGGGUGUGGAGGUAGCUCUGCAACCUGACUGAAGUUCUAGAGGAAAGAGAGGUGGAAAACCGUGUCCUCAGGAAGUUCCCAAAGGGCCUACGGUUCAGGGCAUGGAGGGGAGAAAAAACACUACUUUUGGUUUAAAAGUUUAAAAACAAACAAAUAAGCCCUUCUCUCCUUAACACACA
Molecule: long non-coding RNA, 2764 nt
Organism: Mus musculus (house mouse)
Lineage: Eukaryota; Metazoa; Chordata; Mammalia; Rodentia; Muridae
Product: predicted gene 20717
Exons: 4
Source: RefSeq, a predicted model, not a curated record